RNAcentral lists this ribosomal RNA (387 nucleotides) under uncultured bacterium. Its description in RNAcentral is "bacterial SSU rRNA". It matches the Rfam family "Bacterial small subunit ribosomal RNA", at positions 29 to 416 of the family's 1533-position model. The record is from RNAcentral.
AUUGAACGCUGGCGGCAUGCCUAACACAUGCAAGUCGAACGGCAGCGCGGGGGCAACCCUGGCGGCGAGUGGCGGACGGGUGAGGAAUACAUGGGAAUCUACCCUGUCGUGGGGGGAUAACGUAGGGAAACUUACGCUAAUACCGCAUACGACCGAGAGGUGAAAGCGGCGGACCGCAAGGCGUCGCGCGAUUGGAUGAGCCCAUGUCGGAUUAGCUAGUUGGCGGGGUAAAGGCCCACCAAGGCGACGAUCCGUAGCUGGUCUGAGAGGAUGAUCAGCCACACUGGAACUGAGACACGGUCCAGACUCCUACGGGAGGCAGCAGUGGGGAAUAUUGGACAAUGGGCGCAAGCCUGAUCCAGCAAUGCCGCGUGGGUGAAGAAGGCC